Molecule: ribosomal RNA, 440 nt
Filed under: uncultured bacterium
Lineage: Bacteria
Description: bacterial SSU rRNA
Rfam family: Bacterial small subunit ribosomal RNA
Source: RNAcentral
CCUANGGGUGGCUGCAGUAACGAAUAUUGGGCAAUGGGCGCAAGCCUGACCCAGCGACGCCGCGUGGAGGACGAAGUCCUUCGGGAUGUAAACUCCUGUCAGGGGUUAGAAAGUUCUGAUCAACCCCAGAGGAAGGCACGGCUAACUCUGUGCCAGCAGCCGCGGUAAGACAGAGGUGCCAAGCGUUAGGCGGAAUCACUGGGCUUAAAGCGUGUGUAGGCGGAUCGUUAAGUGCCUUGUGAAAUCCCACGGCUCAACCGUGGAAUGGCUGGGCAUACUGGCGGUCUUGAGCCAUUCAGGGGCGACUGGAACAAGCGGUGGAGCGGUGAAAUGCGUAGAUAUCGCUUGGAACGCCAAAGGUGAAAACAGGUCGCUGGGGAUGUGCUGACGCUGAGACACGAAAGCCAGGGGAGCAAACGGGAUUAGAUACCCGGNUANUC